This 381-nucleotide ribosomal RNA is filed under the name uncultured bacterium. RNAcentral's name for it is "bacterial SSU rRNA". It matches the Rfam family "Bacterial small subunit ribosomal RNA", at positions 524 to 904 of the family's 1533-position model. The record is from RNAcentral.
UACGAAGGGGGCUAGCGUUGCUCGGAAUUACUGGGCGUAAAGGGAGCGUAGGCGGACUGUUAAGUUAGAGGUGAAAGCCCAGGGCUCAACCUUGGAAUUGCCUUUGAUACUGGCAGUCUUGAGUACGGAAGAGGUAUGUGGAACUCCGAGUGUAGAGGUGAAAUUCGUAGAUAUUCGGAAGAACACCAGUGGCGAAGGCGACAUACUGGUCCGUUACUGACGCUGAGGCUCGAAAGCGUGGGGGAGCAAACAGGAUUAGAUACCCUGGUAGUCCACGCCGUAAACGAUGAGUGCUAGUUGUCGGCAUGCAUGCAUGUCGGUGACGCAGCUAACGCAUUAAGCACUCCGCCUGGGGAGUACGGUCGCAAGAUUAAAACUCAA